UACAGAGGUCUCGAGCGUUAGGCGGAAUCCCUGGGCUUAAAGCGUGUGUAGGUGGAUCGUUAAGUACCUUGUGAAAUCCCACGGCUUAACCGUGGAACUGCUUGGUAUACUGGCGGUCUUGAGCCAGCUAGGGGCUACCGGAACAAAUGGUGGAGCGGUGAAAUGCGUAGAUAUCAAGAGGAACACCUGAGGUGAAGACGGGUUGCUGGGCUGACACUGACGCUGAGGCGCGAAAGCCAGGGGAGCAAACGGG
RNAcentral lists this ribosomal RNA (253 nucleotides) under uncultured bacterium. RNAcentral's name for it is "partial 16S ribosomal RNA". It matches the Rfam family "Bacterial small subunit ribosomal RNA", at positions 524 to 776 of the family's 1533-position model. The record is from RNAcentral.